This 379-nucleotide ribosomal RNA is filed under the name uncultured bacterium. RNAcentral's name for it is "bacterial SSU rRNA". It matches the Rfam family "Bacterial small subunit ribosomal RNA", at positions 1 to 408 of the family's 1533-position model. The record is from RNAcentral.
UAGUGAGUUUGAUCCUGGCUCAGGAUGAACGCUGGCGGCGUGCUUAACACAUGCAAGUCGAACGCAAGUAGAAAUACUUGAGUGGCGGACGGGUGAGUAACGCGUGAGAAUCUGCCUUCUGGUCGGGGACAACCACUGGAAACGGUGGCUAAUACCGGAUAUGCCUAUGGGUGAAAGAUUAAUUGCCAGAAGAAGAGCUCGUGUCUGAUUAGCUUGUUGGUGGGGUAAUGGCCCACCAAGGCGAUGACGGGUAGCCGGCCUGAGAGGGCGACCGGCCACACUGGGACUGAGACACGGCCCAGACUCCUACGGGGAGGCAGCAGUGGGGAAUAUUGGGGCAAUGGGGCGAGAGCCUGACCCAGCCAUGCCGCGUGCCGAG